CUACGGGAUGCAGCAGGCGCGAAACCUUUACAAUGCACGCAAGUGUGAUAAGGGGAUCCUCCGUGCUCAUGCAUAGCAUGGGCUUUUGCCAAGUGUAAAUAGCUUGGCGAAUAAGUGGUGGGUAAGACUGGUGCCAGCCGCCGCGGUAACACCAGCGCCACGAGUGGUGACCACGUUUAUUGGGCCUAAAGCGUCCGUAGCCGGCUUAGUAAGUCUUUUGUGAAAUUGUUGGGCUUAACCCAACAGCGUGCAAGAGAUACUGCUAGGCUUGAGACCGGGAGGAGUCAGAAGUAUUCCAGGGGGAGCGGUAAAAUGUUAUAAUCCCUGGAGGACUACCUGUGGCGAAGGCGUCUGACCAGAACGGAUCUGACGGUGAGGGACGAAAGCCAGGGGAGCGAACCGGAUUAGAUACCCUAGUAGUC
This 422-nucleotide ribosomal RNA is filed under the name uncultured archaeon. Its description in RNAcentral is "partial 16S ribosomal RNA". It matches the Rfam family "Archaeal small subunit ribosomal RNA", at positions 323 to 746 of the family's 1478-position model. The record is from RNAcentral.